This 320-nucleotide long non-coding RNA is filed under the name Elaeis guineensis (African oil palm). Its description in RNAcentral is "long non-coding RNA (EGUI_LNC001055)". Lineage: Eukaryota; Viridiplantae; Streptophyta; Magnoliopsida; Arecales; Arecaceae. The record is from RNAcentral.
CACCAUGAAAAGCGGGACCACGUGCUCGACGGUUAUAUCAGAUUCAUCUAUAAAAGAAGGAUAAGGAAACAGCAUUGGUAAGACAUUUUUGAGCCAGAGCUCUGCUAUUCUCGAUACUCUAUUACUGUUCAUCAAUUCUCUCUCUGACUUAAGCAUCGAAGAGUCCCCGCUGGACACAACUUUGAUCUGUGAGGACGUUGUUUUGCAGGUGCUCUUCACCGGCGACAGGCGAUAGGAAGUUGGCCGCAACAGAUUGGCAUGCCAGAUAGGAGAGAAAUCUGCAAUCAAUCAUGCUAAAAAUUAGAGCCCAACAUUUAACC